This 76-nucleotide transfer RNA is filed under the name Succinatimonas hippei. RNAcentral describes it as "tRNA-Thr". It matches the Rfam family "tRNA". Rfam says of the family: Transfer RNA (tRNA) molecules are approximately 80 nucleotides in length. The record is from RNAcentral. RNAcentral also lists the same sequence under 2 other names. Lineage: Bacteria; Pseudomonadati; Pseudomonadota; Gammaproteobacteria; Aeromonadales; Succinivibrionaceae.
GCUGGUUUAGCUCAGUUGGUAGAGCACCUGUUUUGUAAACAGGGGGUCGUGGGUUCAAGCCCUACAACCAGCACCA